Molecule: ribosomal RNA, 466 nt
Filed under: uncultured bacterium
Lineage: Bacteria
Description: bacterial SSU rRNA
Rfam family: Bacterial small subunit ribosomal RNA
Source: RNAcentral
GUCCAGACUCCUACGGGAGGCAGCAGUGAGGAAUAUUGGUCAAUGGCCGGGAGGCUGAACCAGCCAAGUCGCGUGAGGGAAGACGGCCCUACGGGUUGUAAACCUCUUUUGUCAGGGAGCAAGGUGCAGGUCGGGACCUGCUGUGAGAGUACCUGAAGAAAAAGCAUCGGCUAACUCCGUGCCAGCAGCCGCGGUAAUACGGAGGAUGCGAGCGUUAUCCGGAUUUAUUGGGUUUAAAGGGUGCGUAGGUGGUUAAUUAAGUCAGCGGUGAAAGUUUGUGGCUCAACCAUAAAAUUGCCGUUGAAACUGGUUGACUUGAGUAUAUUUGAGGUAGGCGGAAUGCGUGGUGUAGCGGUGAAAUGCAUAGAUAUCACGCAGAACUCCGAUUGCGAAGGCAGCUUACUAAACUAUAACUGACACUGAAGCACGAAAGCGUGGGGAUCAAACAGGAUUAGAUACCCCUGUA